AUACGAAGGUGGCUAGCGUUGUUCGGAAUCACUGGGCUUAAAGCGCAUGUAGGCGGCUUUGCAAGCGUCUUGUGAAAUCCCCCGGCUCAACCGGGGAACUGCUGGGCGAACUGCAAGGCUUGAGGCAAGUAGGGGUGCGUGGAACUCUUGGUGGAGCGGUGAAAUGCGUAGAUAUCAAGAGGAACGCCGGAGGCGAAAGCGGCGCACUGGGCUUGUCCUGACGCUGAGAUGCGAAGGCCAGGGGAGCGAACGGGAUUAGAUACCCCGGUAGUCCUGGCAGUAAACGAUGCCUACUAGGUUGGAGGCCUUUUGACGGGCUUCCGGCCGUAACUAAAGCGUUAAGUAGGCCGCCUGGGGAGUACGGUCGCAGGGCUAAA
Molecule: ribosomal RNA, 377 nt
Filed under: uncultured bacterium
Lineage: Bacteria
Description: bacterial SSU rRNA
Rfam family: Bacterial small subunit ribosomal RNA
Source: RNAcentral